Molecule: ribosomal RNA, 460 nt
Filed under: uncultured Sphingobacteriales bacterium
Lineage: Bacteria; Pseudomonadati; Bacteroidota; Sphingobacteriia; Sphingobacteriales
Description: bacterial SSU rRNA
Rfam family: Bacterial small subunit ribosomal RNA
Source: RNAcentral
GCACAAGCGGUGGAGCAUGUGGUUUAAUUCGAUGAUACGCGAGGUAACCUUACCUGGGCUUAAAUGUAGAGUGCAUUUUUUAGAGAUAGAAAUUCCCUUCGGGGCUUUCUGCAAGGUGCUGCAUGGUUGUCGUCAGCUCGUGCCGUGAGGUGUCGGGUUAAGUCCCAUAACGAGCGCAACCCUUAUCGUUAGUUGCCAGCUGGUAAAGCAGGGGACUCUAGCGAAACUGCCACCGUAAGGUGAGAGGAAGGUGGGGAUGACGUCAAAUCAGCACGGCCCUUAUGUCCAGGGCUACACACGUGUUACAAUGGCCGGCACAGAGGGCAGCUACCUGGUGACAGGAUGCUAAUCUCGAAAACUGGUCUCAGUUCGGAUCGAAGUCUGCAACUCGACUUCGUGAAGCUGGAUUCGCUAGUAAUCGCGCAUCAGCCAUGGCGCGGUGAAUACGUUCCCGGGCCUU